UUUUUCUAGGCGACUGAUUUAAUUUUUUGGAAUACCCUCGUAUCGUAUUACGUUGCGGUGCACCUUAGGGGGUAGUUGUGUCGCGACACACUGGGUUUGCUGUAUAUAAGGCUCAGGACGUGUGUUGCGGGCCUUUUUUGCUCUUUUCUUUUUUUGGGUUGGAUUCUCUCGCCGUCUUAAGAGCUGAGUGCAAUUUAUUGUGGGUGAGUCAUUGUAGUUUCUUAUGGUAUAAGCUUUGCUUUAGUGUAAGUUGAUUUUGUGUGUUUUGAAAAAGAAGAUUAAGAUUCUGUAGGAUUUUUUUUUACUCUCUCUCUUGUGUCUCGUGUUAGGAGUUGUGGGUGUCUCUCUAACCCAACGAACAAUUUUUUAACACGUAGCACUGCGUUGCUAUUUACUUUUUCUAGGCGACUGAUUUAAUUUUUUGGAAUACCCUCGUAUCGUAUUACGUUGCGGUGCACCUUAGGGGGUAGUUGUGUCGCGACACACUGGGUUUGCUGUAUAUAAGGCUCAGGACGUGUGUUGCGGGCCUUUUUUGCUCUUUUCUUUUUUUGGGUUGGAUUCUCUCGCCGUCUUAAGAGCUGAGUGCAAUUUAUUGUGGGUGAGUCAUUGUAGUUUCUUAUGGUAUAAGCUUUGCUUUAGUGUAAGUUGAUUUUGUGUGUUUUGAAAAAGAAGAUUAAGAUUCUGUAGGAUUUUUUUUUACUCUCUCUCUUGUGUCUCGUGUUAGGAGUUGUGGGUGUCUCUCUAACCCAACGAACAAUUUUUUAACACGUAGCAACU
RNAcentral lists this unclassified non-coding RNA (777 nucleotides) under Melitaea cinxia (Glanville fritillary). Its description in RNAcentral is "misc RNA ENSMCXG00005000673.1". Lineage: Eukaryota; Metazoa; Arthropoda; Insecta; Lepidoptera; Nymphalidae. The record is from RNAcentral.